GUGACCAUAGCUCAGCUGGUAGAGCGCCUGACUGUGGAUCAGGCGGCCGCGGGUUCAAAGCCCGCUGGUCACCCCA
Molecule: transfer RNA, 76 nt
Filed under: Thermotoga sp.
Lineage: Bacteria; Thermotogati; Thermotogota; Thermotogae; Thermotogales; Thermotogaceae
Also listed under: 4 other names
Description: tRNA-His
Rfam family: tRNA
About the family: Transfer RNA (tRNA) molecules are approximately 80 nucleotides in length.
Source: RNAcentral